AUUGAACGCUGGCGGCAGGCCUAACACAUGCAAGUCGAACGGUAACAGGAAGAAGCUUGCUUCUUUGCUGACGAGUGGCGGACGGGUGAGUAAUGUCUGGGAAACUGCCUGAUGGAGGGGGAUAACUACUGGAAACGGUAGCUAAUACCACAUAACGUCGCAAGACCAAAGAGGGGGACCUUCGGGCCUCUUGCCAUCGGAUGUGCCCAGAUGGGAUUAGCUAGUAGGUGGGGUAACGGCUCACCUAGGCGACGAUCCCUAGCUGGUCUGAGAGGAUGACCAGCCACACUGGAGCUGAGACACGGUCCAGACUCCUACGGGAGGCAGCAGUGGGGAAUAUUGCACAAUGGGCGCAAGCCUGAUGCAGCCAUGCCGCGUGUAUGAAGAAGGCCUUCGGGUUGUAAAGUACUUUCAGCGGGGAGGAAGGGAGUAAAGUUAAUACCUUUGCUCAUUGACGUUACCCGCAGAAGAAGCACCGGCUAACUCCGUG
This 490-nucleotide ribosomal RNA is filed under the name uncultured bacterium. RNAcentral describes it as "partial 16S ribosomal RNA". It matches the Rfam family "Bacterial small subunit ribosomal RNA", at positions 30 to 507 of the family's 1533-position model. The record is from RNAcentral.